This 429-nucleotide ribosomal RNA is filed under the name Actinomycetes bacterium. Its description in RNAcentral is "Actinobacteria bacterium partial 16S ribosomal RNA". It matches the Rfam family "Bacterial small subunit ribosomal RNA", at positions 355 to 776 of the family's 1533-position model. The record is from RNAcentral. Lineage: Bacteria; Bacillati; Actinomycetota; Actinomycetes.
UAGGGAAUCUUCCGCAAUGGGCGAAAGCUUGACGGAGCAACGCCGCGUGAGUGAUGAAGGUCUUCGGAUCGUAAAACUCUGUUAUUAGGGAAGAACAAAUGUGUAAGUAACUAUGCACGUCUUGACGGUACCUAAUCAGAAAGCCACGGCUAACUACGUGCCAGCAGCCGCGGUAAUACGUAGGUGGCAAGCGUUAUCCGGAAUUAUUGGGCGUAAAGCGCGCGUAGGCGGUUUUUUAAGUCUGAUGUGAAAGCCCACGGCUCAACCGUGGACGGUCAUUGGAAACUGGAGAACUUGAGUGCAGAAGAGGAAAGUGGAAUUCCAUGUGUAGCGGUGAAAUGCGCAGAGAUAUGGAGGAACACCAGUGGCGAAGGCGACUUUCUGGUCUGUAACUGACGCUGAUGUGCGAAAGCGUGGGGAUCAAACAGG